ACGGAAGACCAUGCCGUGAGAAGAUAUAUUAGUCUUGUGAUACAAUUUUGGUCGUAUUAUCGGGAACCAUAUGUACAACGAAACAUCGUCAUCUCCACUCGACUUUAAUACACUGUGACGCCAAGAUGGGGAAUUCUCCAAGUAAAGACGCGAACAAGAAAAGAAACGGCAACAAUUCAAAAGAUGGCUGCCCUAUGGAGGAAAACUAUGAUGAGGAAACGCCCACGCCCACGCGUGAAGUGCUACCCACGCUUAAGGUCGACUUCUUGCCGUAUUCCACCGACUGCCAACCUCUCGUCGAAAAUCAAGAAAAAAGGCAAACGUUCAUCGUCACAGCCCACCCCAAAGACCACACCUAUCAGUACGCCCACGGCGAAAAACAAGUUUGUGACAACGCCCACGUCCACACCGAAAGUGACGACCAAGUUUCAGUCCACUUCAAGUAUUACACCAGAAACAAAGAACAAGCACAAGUCGACGCCUACAAGCACACCCAACGUUAAAAACAAGUUGAGGUCAGCGUCCAGUUAUAAAGCGAACUCCUUGCCCACGCCCCAGAUAAAGGUGGAAUGGCCCAAGUCGGAAGGACCACCAAUUGUCGGCCGGAUGAUUGAGGAAAAAGGUCGUGUCCACUCAGCGACCGUCUCCGCUGUCAACCCCACCGCCAGAAGUGUCACAGUAGAGUGGUUUGAAAAAGGCGAAACGAAAGGAAAAGAGAUCGAGUUCGAUGCUGUGUUCGCCCUCAAUCCUGAUUUGGCGCCCCAGGACCAAAAUGCCAUGCCACCGCCUUCAAAAUUUGACGACGAGGACGAGGAGUCCAGCUUGUCCGAGGCAGAUCUAAGUGACUACGUGUCAGGACUCAACGUUGGGCGAGCGGUGAGAGGGUCUGGACGAUUCCUGAGAUCUUCCCACACUCACAGCAACGUUCCAGCCGCCUAUCACCCACAGCGGCCUCCUUCCGCCCACACGUCACAUCUGCCACGUCCUCCUGGGCACCAGGUGGCUCGCUCUCAGUCAGCCUCCAGGCUCACCAUGGAUGAUGAUGGUGAUGAUGUGGAUGAUGAUGAUGAUGAUGAUGAUGAUCCUCCUUAUUCCCGGCAGUCACAGAUCACCCAGCCUGCAGCAGCACCAGUCACAAGAAGCAAAGAUGUGAACAGACCCCGCCCUAGCUACCUUGUGAAACCACCCCAGAAUGGAGAACUCCGAUCAAAUUUGCAAAACAAGAUUGGCCAAGCACCUGCCAGAUCCACAGAAAAUAUUUCUACAUCCACUGUGAGCAAAGCCUCAUCUGUACCAGCUUCUCGGCGCCGAAGUAAUGUGGUGAAGGAAGUGGAUCGUAUUCAGAAGAAACGAGAGGAACGUAGAAAACAGCAAGCGGAGAAAAAAGAAGAGAAAGAAGCACUAAUGAACCUCGACCCAGGAAACCCUCAGUGGGAGUUUCUCAAUAUGAUUCGAGAGUUCAGAUCACAGCUAGAAUUUCGAACACUGAAAGAUGGUGAUCCUCUAGAAGAACAUCAAAUUACAGUUGCUGUCAGAAAGAGACCACUUAACAAAAAAGAGCAGAGCAAACGAGAAAUAGAUGUUAUCACCAUUCCUAACAGAAAUAAUCUUUAUGUUCAUGAACCACGAUCCAAAGUAGACCUAACAAAAUAUCUAGAAAAUCAGAAUUUCCAGUUUGAUUAUGCAUUUGAUGAAUCCUGCAAUAAUGAACUUGUUUACAAGUAUACAGCAAGACCACUAGUUCAAACAAUUUUUGAAGGUGGCAUGGCUACUUGCUUUGCUUAUGGCCAGACUGGGUCUGGAAAGACCCACACAAUGGGUGGAGAUUUUCAGGGCAAGAGUCAAGAUUGUGCAUCAGGAAUAUAUGCGAUGGUGGCAAAGGAUGUAUUUAUCUUCACCAAGAACCCAAAGUUUAGACAUCUUAAUUUACAAGUUUCGGCAAGUUUUUUUGAAAUCUAUGGUGGUAAGGUUUUUGAUCUCCUAAAUAGCAAGACUAAGCUGCGGGUGUUAGAAGAUGGCAAAAAUGUUGUUCAAGUGGUAGGUCUACAAGAACGUGUAUGUGAGUCUGUAGAUGAUGUCCUCAGACUCAUCAAUUUAGGUUCUCAAGUGCGAACUUCUGGUCAAACUGCUGCCAAUAAUCAGUCCUCACGUUCUCAUGCUGUCUUCCAGAUCAUUUUAAGAAAUUUGGAUAGAAUAGAGAAGCAAGGAGAUAAAUCUUACAAACUUCAUGGCAAGUUCUCUCUCAUUGACUUGGCUGGUAAUGAGAGGGGAGCAGACACCUCAAGUGCUAACAGACAAACUCGAAUGGAAGGUGCAGAAAUCAAUAAAUCUCUAUUAGCUCUUAAAGAAUGUAUCCGUGCUUUGGAUCGCAAAGGAUCACAUUUACCAUUCCGAGUCUCUAAAUUAACCCAAGUGCUACGUGACUCCUUCAUCCGAGACAAGAGUAAGACAUGUAUGAUUGCCAUGAUAUCUCCAGGAAUGAACUGCUGUGAGCAUACAUUGAAUACAUUAAGGUAUGCUGACCGUGUAAAAGAAUUGGGAUCCUCUGAAAAUUCUGAGGGAAAUUACAAAUCUUCACCAUCAGAAAAAGAACCCGAUGAAAAUGGUACCAGUGAUGCUGGCUACUCAAGACUAUCAAAUCUAAAUGAUAACGAGAUGAGUGCAGAUCAGCAGGCAUUCCAGGUUGCCAUGGGUGCUCUUCAAGAAGCAGAGGAGGAAGUGGUAGAUCUACAUGGUCAAUACUUUGCUCACCGAGAUAAAAUGGACAAAAUGCUGAUUCCUCUUUACCAGAUGACUAAUGAAGUAGACUACGAUGUAGAUGCAUAUACACAACAGCUGGAAGAUGUUGUUUUGGAAAACAUGGAAUGGUGGACCCAGCUGCGGGAACGUGUGGUGAAAUUGCGGCACCAGCUAGUGGAGGAGGAAAACCUAUCACGUCGUCAACAAGUAGCUCUGAAAACAUCUAGCAUCAAAUAACCAACCCUAAUGCAAUUACUGAUGCUAAUUGAAAACUUGAAGAGGAAAAUGUCAUAAAAUCUACAAGGAAUGCUCCUCUCGUCAACAACUCAUAAUUUUAGAAAUGUCGUGUCUCGAGGUUUUUGUGUUAUCUUGCCUCCAUAUGCUCUGCAGCUGUGCCACUCAUUUCAAUAAAAAAAAAUUUCAAUACAAACCUGCACUUCAGUUUACACACACACACACGCAUACACACACACACACACGCAUACACACACACACACACACACACACACACACACAGUAUAUGGCCUGAUAGCAUUAGGCUUAUUUGGAUUUGGCAAAGAUUAUACUGUACUAUUUUAAAAAUUAUCAGUCCAGUCUCAAAUAUCUAUACUCUUGUCAAAACUGCCUGCUUGAUGGUGCUUUGAAGUGGUGGCAGGCAGAGUGAUGUAUUUAUGUGCUAAUGGUUAUUUUUACUUAAUAACUGUACUAUAUCUGUAAAGAACACUAUUAUCUAACAUCAUAACAGUUCAGAGGUAAAGGUUUGUGUUGAAUAAACAAAAUAUAUUGCUUCAUAAAAGCUGUUUGGUUAUAUUUGUUUUGUAAAGUUAACCUGAUUUUUGUCAUUGUUUAAAAUAAUAUUUUUAAAUGCCUUAAUGUAAAGAAAUACCUAAUGUAGAAGACACAGCAUAGUAACAUGAACUUGUGAAUGUUAAUGUUGCAGUUUAUGAAGUUCUCUUUUUAACACAUCAAUAAAAGCACAAAUUAAUGCAAAA
RNAcentral lists this unclassified non-coding RNA (3731 nucleotides) under Homarus americanus (American lobster). Its description in RNAcentral is "kinesin-like protein KIF2A, transcript variant X7". The record is from RNAcentral. Lineage: Eukaryota; Metazoa; Arthropoda; Malacostraca; Decapoda; Nephropidae.